CCUACGGGUGGCUGCAGUGGGGAAUAUUGGACAAUGGGGGCAACCCUGAUCCAGCCAUGCCGCGUGUGUGAAGAAGGCCCUCGGGUUGUAAAGCACUUUCAGUGAGGAAGAACGCCUGGUGGUUAAUACCCAUCAGGAAAGACAUCUCUCACAGAAGAAGCACCGGCUAACUCCGUGCCAGCAGCCGCGGUAAUACGGAGGGUGCGAGCGUUAAUCGGAAUUACUGGGCGUAAAGCGCGCGUAGGUGGCUUGAUAAGCCGGUUGUGAAAGCCCCGGGCUCAACCUGGGAACGGCAUCCGGAACUGUCAAGCUAGAGUGCAGGAGAGGAAGGUAGAAUUCCCGGUGUAGCGGUGAAAUGCGUAGAGAUCGGGAGGAAUACCAGUGGCGAAGGCGGCCUUCUGGACUGACACUGACACUGAGGUGCGAAAGCGUGGGUAGCAAACAGGAUUAGAUAUCCCGGUAGUC
Molecule: ribosomal RNA, 465 nt
Filed under: Vreelandella stevensii
Lineage: Bacteria; Pseudomonadati; Pseudomonadota; Gammaproteobacteria; Oceanospirillales; Halomonadaceae
Description: partial 16S ribosomal RNA
Rfam family: Bacterial small subunit ribosomal RNA
Source: RNAcentral